UUGACCUCGGAUCAGGUAGGA
RNAcentral lists this ribosomal RNA (21 nucleotides) under Penicillium janthinellum. RNAcentral describes it as "partial 28S ribosomal RNA". Lineage: Eukaryota; Fungi; Ascomycota; Eurotiomycetes; Eurotiales; Aspergillaceae. RNAcentral also lists the same sequence under 31 other names. The record is from RNAcentral.